This is a non-coding RNA of Nicotiana tabacum (common tobacco), 552 nucleotides long. The record is from RefSeq and is a predicted model, not a curated record. NCBI's taxonomy places the organism in Eukaryota, Viridiplantae, Streptophyta, Magnoliopsida, Solanales, Solanaceae.
GAUCCACCUGUUUAACAUACUGUAGGCCUACACAAUGGAGCUAGAAGCAGAAGUUGCAAAACUUAAAGAAGAAAACGAAGAAUUGCGGAAGAAACAGGCAGAGAUGAUGGAAAUGCAGAAGAAUCGGGUUCAGGAGAUGAUGAACCUUCAACGAGGAGCUAAAAGACGAUGCUUGAGAAGGACCCAGACAGGUCCUUGGUAAAAGUGGGGUUCAGAAAUAAGUGCUUGGCUGUAACUAUGUUUCUGAUAGUAUGUUCCUGUACAUAGAGGGAACUUUUUUCCAUUGUACAUCAGAAGAGAAGAGUUAUCUUUUUUCUGUAACCUUUUCCUUCUGUAUUUCCAAAGUCUUCUCCCAUGUCGACAAUGUCAUGAAUAAAACUAGAGACAAAUACUUAUUUACUAUGCAGAUAUAUCUAUUAUCUGUAAGUAGACACUCUUAGUAUUAUGUGUGCUGCAGACAUUGAUCUGAUUAUUGAGUGUUUCCUCCGUUUCAGAAAGGUUGUCUUUGUUGACUUGACACAAACUUUGAUAAAGAAGGGAAGACUUUUGAGA